GGUGAUUCUUAGGUGACACACCCUGGAAUUGGGGUCCCUCCUCUCUGGUUCCAGGUGCAUCACCCGAGAACCACA
This is a non-coding RNA of Myotis davidii, 75 nucleotides long. The record is from Rfam. Lineage: Eukaryota; Metazoa; Chordata; Mammalia; Chiroptera; Vespertilionidae.